This 429-nucleotide ribosomal RNA is filed under the name Gemmatimonadota bacterium. RNAcentral's name for it is "Gemmatimonadetes bacterium partial 16S ribosomal RNA". It matches the Rfam family "Bacterial small subunit ribosomal RNA", at positions 355 to 776 of the family's 1533-position model. Lineage: Bacteria; Pseudomonadati; Gemmatimonadota. The record is from RNAcentral.
UAGGGAAUCUUCGGCAAUGGACGAAAGUCUGACCGAGCAACGCCGCGUGAGUGAAGAAGGUUUUCGGAUCGUAAAACUCUGUUGUUAGAGAAGAACAAGGACGUUAGUAACUGAACGUCCCCUGACGGUAUCUAACCAGAAAGCCACGGCUAACUACGUGCCAGCAGCCGCGGUAAUACGUAGGUGGCAAGCGUUGUCCGGAUUUGUUGGGCGUAAAGCGAGCGCAGGCGGUUUCUUAAGUCUGAUGUGAAAGCCCCCGGCUCAACCGGGGAGGGUCAUUGGAAACUGGGAGACUUGAGUGCAGAAGAGGAGAGUGGAAUUCCAUGUGUCGCGGUGAAAUGCGUAGAUAUAUGGAGGAGCACCAGUGGCGAGGGCGGCUCUCUGGUCUGUAACUGACGCUGAGGCUCGAAAGCGUGGGGAGCAAACAAG